Molecule: ribosomal RNA, 451 nt
Filed under: uncultured bacterium
Lineage: Bacteria
Description: partial 16S ribosomal RNA
Rfam family: Bacterial small subunit ribosomal RNA
Source: RNAcentral
GUGGGGAAUAUUGCGCAAUGGGGGAAACCCUGACGCAGCGACGCCGUGUGAGGGAAGAAGGCUUUCGGGUCGUAAACCUCUGUCAGAAAGGAAGAACCUCCCAAGUCCGAAUAGGGCUUGGGACUGACGGUACUUUCAAAGGAAGCACCGGCUAACUCCGUGCCAGCAGCCGCGGUAAUACGGAGGGUGCAAGCGUUAAUCGGAAUCACUGGGCGUAAAGCGCGCGUAGGCCGCUUUGUAAGUCGGACGUAAAAGCCCUCGGCGCAACCGGGGAACUGCGUUCGAUACUGCGAGGCUUGAGUCCUGGAGAGGGUGGCGGAAUGCCGGGUGUAGGAGUGAAAUCCGUAGAUAUCCGGAGGAACACCGGUGGCGAAGGCGGCCACCUGGACAGGUACUGACGCUGAGGCGCGAAAGCGUGGGGAGCAAACAGGAUUAGAAACCCUAGUAGUCC